UUUUCUCUCUCUCUCAUCGAGAUGGUGGCCGGCGGGAGGGGGUCGCCGCCGGCGGCGGCGGAGGCGGUGGAGGAGCUCACGAGGCUGUACAGGGAGCUCCCGCCGCGGCCCACCGUCGAGGAGGUGGAGGCGGCGGCGGCGGUGCUGGCCUCGGCCGACGCGGAGGAGGCGGCGCGGCUCGAGGAGGUGGCACGGGAGGAGGCGGCGGGGAGGGUCGAGGGGGUGUCCGGGGAGCUCCUCGCCGUGCUCCGGGAGGCCAGGCGCAACGCCGUGCGCCUCCGCGCGCUGCAGCAGCGGAAGGAGGCCGCGCACGUGGUCGAGCUCGAGAGGCGCUUCAAGGUGUUCGACGAUUUGAUCCAGAGGGCGUCGCGGGUGGUCUCGUCCUUCUCUGGUGACGCGGGAGGGGGAUCUCCCGGCGAUGGGGGCGCUGGUGUGGACAGCGUGGACCUGGAGAUGGAGGUGAGGAAGAAGGAGGCGGCGGUCGUGGCCGCGGCCGCGGCGGCGGAGAUGGAGCGCGGAAGCAAGGGUCUCGCUGCCUUAGGCUUGGAGUCCAAGCCCAUCUCGUCGCUGCGUCGUGAUCUCUCUGGAGUUAGUGACAUGGAAAAAUUGAGCCUCAUCCAAGUAGCAAGCCUCAUCGAGUCAUCAGCAAAGAAAGGAACCACAGAGCUCAAUCUCCGAGGGAAGUUGGUCGACCAGAUUGAGUGGCUCCCUGUUUCACUUGGGAAGUUACAAGAUGUUACUGAGCUUGAUCUAUCAGAGAAUAGGAUCAUGGCACUCCCAUCAACAAUUGGCAGCCUUAGAUAUUUGACAAAGCUUGACCUCCACUCAAAUCAACUGAUCAAUCUGCCUGACACAUUUGGGGAACUCUCCAACCUGAUUGAUCUUGACCUGCAUGCCAACCAGCUUAAGUCCCUUCCUUCCUCAUUUGGAAACCUCAUGAGCCUGGCAAAUCUUGACCUGAGCUCAAAUAUGUUGAAGGCACUUCCAGAUUGUUUGGGAAAAUUGACAAACUUGAGAAGAUUAAUUGUUGAGACAAAUGAGCUCGAGGAGCUACCCUAUACUAUUGGAUCUUGCACCUCUCUUGUGGAGCUUAGGUUGGAUUUCAAUCAGUUAAAAGCCCUUCCUGAGGCUAUCGGGAAGUUGGAGAAGCUGGAAAUUCUCACAUUGCACUAUAACAGAAUCAAAGGAUUGCCUACAACAGUGGGCUCACUUUCCAGAUUGAGAGAGCUGGAUGUCAGUUUCAAUGAAGUUGAAGUGAUUCCUGAGAACAUUUGCCUUGCAACCAGUCUUGUGAAGUUGAAUCUUAGCAGAAAUUUCGCGGACUUAAGAGCAUUGCCGAGAUCAAUAGGAAAUCUUGAGAUGCUAGAGGAGCUGGACAUAAGCAGUAACCAGAUUCGGGUACUGCCAGAUUCAUUUAGGUGUCUUUCAAGGCUACGUGUAUUUCAUGCUGAUGAGACCCCACUGGAUUUACCACCAAGAGAUGUUGUAAAGCUAGGGGCUCAGGCUGUGGUCCAGUAUAUGAUUGAUAUGAAUGCUGCAAGAGGAAGAGGAACCAACCAGAAGAAAACAGAUAGAAGAAGCUUCUGGGCCUGGCUCUUCUCACUGUUUGGUUGUUGCAAAAAGGACCAAGAGCUGGGACUGGUUCCAGUAUAAAUGAAGCAUUUCAUCUGAAGUGUCGAGAUAGAAGGAAAGUGAAACUGUUCGGAAAGCAAGAAACCAGCUGCGCAAAUGAGUCCCUAAAGUGGCUGAAGAUCAAUAAGGCUGAACAAUGAACUUGUGCCAUCACAGGGUUGGAUCUCCAGAAGAGCACAAGGAAGCAUCAAGCCAAGAGAGAAACGGUCUGAAAUUGCCGAAAUAAUCGGUAGGAUGUACACCAGGAAAAGUCAGUUUACGCAGACGGAUUGCAGUUUCCCUUAUCGACGGAAAUGGGCCUCGCGAGACUACAAUGGGACGCAUGUGAAGCCCGAUAUCAUCACUCGGCAACGGAACUGGCCCAAACUCGUACCUUGCCGUUAAUGGGUCAGUUUAUCUUAGCAUUAACAUUAACAAAUAUUGCGGCCAUUUCACUAGUUCACUUGGGCCGUAAAAUUCUAUAUUGGGCCUAAAGUUUCUAAUUUAAGCCGUAAGCCCAAAUUUUCUAGUUUGGGCCUUCGUGAGUACUGAGCUGUAGUGUUUUGGCCUUAAACUGUGAAGUAUGCCGUAAGUAGGCCUGAUAUUUGUGUUUUAGUCGUUACUCGUUAGUGGGUCUAUUUCGAUAAUGGACCUUAAAGUUCCUACUCCGGGUCCAAUUUGCUGAGUUUUGGGCGUUUUCGCACUAAAAUAAGCAUGUGCUGUAUAAGAGGAUCUGAUUUUUUUUCAAGAUUGAGCCGUUGUCGAAUUUAUACUUGGGCUGUUAGUGGGCUAAAUUUAAGGUAAGCAGGCCAUAAUGCCUCAU
RNA transcript from Oryza brachyantha (malo sina), 2434 nucleotides. It is a transcript of the gene named plant intracellular Ras-group-related LRR protein 5, with no coding region annotated. NCBI's taxonomy places the organism in Eukaryota, Viridiplantae, Streptophyta, Magnoliopsida, Poales, Poaceae. The record is from RefSeq and is a predicted model, not a curated record. The transcript has 5 exons.